CUUCCCCAGCUCUCCUCCUCCUCCUUCGCCUCCUCCUCCUCCACUCCCCCCCUUUAUUACCCUUUGUGUCAUCCUCCACAGCUCCAGGGAAGGCACUCAAAAGUGGGGGGCAGGAAAGGUUGAGAGCACAAAUGAACAAAGAAGAAUAUGCAACAAAAACUAUGAACAUUGAGGAUGGGAGUUUCUGCAUGUGGGAACUAGAUAUUGAAGCUUUAUGGUUUACAGACAAGAUCUUUAGAAGUUAGACACUCAAGGACCAAGAAAAUAAAUACAAGAAACGAAGAGCACAAACUAUUUUCUUCAUCAGUACAUAGAAUCCUGAUAUUUCUCUAAUUCCAUCAGACACAGAGGAAUGACCACCUUGGUAGAUGGCCACAGAGGAUGUCAACAAUUUUUUG
Long non-coding RNA from Lepus europaeus (European hare), 398 nucleotides. RefSeq lists it as uncharacterized. NCBI's taxonomy places the organism in Eukaryota, Metazoa, Chordata, Mammalia, Lagomorpha, Leporidae. The transcript is spliced from 4 exons. The record is from RefSeq and is a predicted model, not a curated record.